GUUUUUAUGGGAUCACCAUCACUAACAUUUAGGAGCAUGAACUGAAAAAACAUCAAGUCUCAGAACUCGAUGAAAUGGAUGGGAAAAAACGCAAGAGUAAAAAAAGUAAAUCCAAAAAGUAUCAUAAAAGUCACAAGCAUUCCAAAGACAAGAAAGCAGAAAAUGCCCUCUCUUCCGUUAAGUUAGUGGAAUAUUCUGAUGUCAGCUCUGAAGAGCUCUCAAGUCCCGAGGCUGGUGAGAUACAAAGUGAAGAUAGCUUUAGUAAAGAAGAAAGAAAAGAUGGCGGCUCCCGUAAGCAUGAAUUUAGAGCCAUUAAAGAAGUUGAAAAAUUGAGGAAGAAUGUUGAGCGCUCUCCUGUCCCGGCACAUCUAAGUAGAUCCACCUCACCCUACAACUAUUCUGAAGAGAAAUCUACUAAUUCUGACCACUGGAAAGAAAUUAAUGACAGGGAAAUCUCUCCAAAACAGAUGGUCAGGUCUCCUUCUCGCAAUGAUGAAUUUCACUCUAAGAGUGAAAAACAUAGGAAACACAAAGAGAAGAAAAAGGAUGCUGAAAAGAAGAAUGGAACCAGUCCAACAUCUAGUAAAAAGAAGAAAAAGAAAAAGCAUAAAAGACGCAGUGCCAGUCGAAGCCUAGUCAGUAGUGAGAGUGAUAAUUCAAAUGACAAGAUAAUCAACGAGCCAAAAAUAUCUGUCUCAAUCACUAAUGAAGCUUUGCAUUCAAGUGACAGAAGUUAUUAUUCAUCAAGAAAUGAUGACCAUUGGCCUGUUGUCAGAGUGAAAGAAAUCUCAGAUGAAAAGUCCUAUUCUGGGUCCAGAUCUCCUGCUAGUCCAUAUCCUGGUUUACGAAGUGAUGAAAAAGUAAAUAAUGAGCGAGAUAUGCGGAUGCGGUCAGUUUCACCACACACUCCUCCGUUUCCACCGAAGUCAAGUAGCUGUGAUAGUUCAAGGAAAGCAACUCCUUCUCCACCCGUUGAAGAAGUUUUGGAUCAUGUCAGUAGCUCAAGACAUGAGAAGUUAAAGCAUAGAAGAUCUCCAAGUUUUGAAAGAGAAGAAACAUUUAAGUGGCCAACUUCUAACAGUCCUUCUCGGUCAGUCAGGUUACAUUCGCCUCAAAUGAGAAGUAUCACUCCUCCACCCAGCCACAGAAAACGGAAGAGAAGGAAUCAUAGCAGAGACUUCAAAGAAAGAGAGAGAAUGAUAGAGGCUGAUAAGCGGUUACGAAGAACUGUAAUUGUUGAAAGGCCAGAAAGGGAAAAGAAGUCUAAACAUCAAACUAGUUCCUCUUGGCGUAGAUCUAGAAGUAGAUCACCAAUUAGGUCACGAAGGUCUUUAUCAAGAUCAAGGAGUCGCUCAGUUGAACGAAGGCGGAGACGUUCACCAAGUCAUCAUCGAUCGCAUUCAAGAAAACGAGGACGUUCAGAUCUCAUAGUAGAUCACCAUCAUAUCAUCGUCGCAGGCGUACUCGUUCUCAGAGCCGGGAAACAGUCAGAAAGCUGA
RNAcentral lists this long non-coding RNA (1499 nucleotides) under Bemisia tabaci. RNAcentral describes it as "lncRNA ENSSSA1NGG002520". The record is from RNAcentral. Lineage: Eukaryota; Metazoa; Arthropoda; Insecta; Hemiptera; Aleyrodidae.